GGGAGGUGUGGCGUACGGA
Molecule: microRNA, 19 nt
Filed under: Gallus gallus (chicken)
Lineage: Eukaryota; Metazoa; Chordata; Aves; Galliformes; Phasianidae
Description: microRNA Ros-gga
Source: RNAcentral